GUGAGACUUAGCGCUCCAACCCUUGCGAACAUUACCUCAUUGCGGCGUUGCUUCGGCGGGCUUGCUGGCGGGGUGCGCCUCUGGAGUUUUCCGGGGCGCGCUUCGCCUGCAGUCCGGCCUGGCCAGCUGGGCCCCGCCGGCAGCGCCAAACUCUUCAGUUUUAUAGUGGAAAAAGUUUUCUGAGUGGCAAUAAUACAAAUAAGCA
RNAcentral lists this unclassified non-coding RNA (205 nucleotides) under uncultured fungus. Its description in RNAcentral is "sequence contains ITS1". Lineage: Eukaryota; Fungi. The record is from RNAcentral.